RNAcentral lists this long non-coding RNA (315 nucleotides) under Lathyrus oleraceus (garden pea). RNAcentral's name for it is "Pisum sativum (pea) long non-coding RNA (PSAT_LNC014498)". The record is from RNAcentral. Lineage: Eukaryota; Viridiplantae; Streptophyta; Magnoliopsida; Fabales; Fabaceae.
UUUUUCCAAUUUCUAUUUUCUGUUUUAUUUCCAUUUUAUUUUCUUUAAUUCUAUUUUAUUUCAAAAAUCAAUAUCUCUUUCAUUUUUUAUCCAAAAAUUAUGGGACCAAUUGCAUUAGUCUCCAAAUAAAUUUUAGUUUCUAUUUCUGAUUUUUAAUAUUUUUUAUUUUCUCAUUUGAUAUUUUUUGUGAAUUUUCUCUUUUCUAGUUAUUUUUAAUUCAUUUUAAAUAGUUUUUGAUAUUCAAAAAAUACAAAAAUAUUUUCCUAACCUAUUUGAAUGAUGAUGGAUCUAUGAAAAAUAUUCUCAUCAAUUUUU